ACCUGGGUGGCUCAGUCGGUUGAGCAUCCAACUUCGACUCCGGUGAUGAUCUCAGUGUUCGUGGGUUCAAGUCCCGCUUCAGGCU
Molecule: transfer RNA, 85 nt
Filed under: Felis catus (domestic cat)
Lineage: Eukaryota; Metazoa; Chordata; Mammalia; Carnivora; Felidae
Rfam family: tRNA
About the family: Transfer RNA (tRNA) molecules are approximately 80 nucleotides in length. Their secondary structure includes four short double-helical elements and three loops (D, anti-codon, and T loops).
Source: Rfam by way of RNAcentral